GAAAAUGAUGAGAUAAUUUGGAAUCUCGUUCGUCUGAACUGCUGUUGAGAAAUCAAAUAUCUGACAUCG
Molecule: small nucleolar RNA, 69 nt
Organism: Cyprinodon variegatus (sheepshead minnow)
Lineage: Eukaryota; Metazoa; Chordata; Actinopteri; Cyprinodontiformes; Cyprinodontidae
Gene: SNORD30
Rfam family: Small nucleolar RNA SNORD30
About the family: U30 is a member of the C/D class of snoRNA which contain the C (UGAUGA) and D (CUGA) box motifs.
Source: Ensembl